ACUGGAUCCACAAAAGCAAAACGUGUAGCUGCCAAAGAACUGCUGUUAUCUCUGGCAUGGCUGGGUCACUGGGACAUUCCACAGAAACAAAAAUGUAUUUCCUGUGUAGACCCAAUUAAAAUAUCUGCUGGAAAAUGUUUCAUGUGCUCUUAAGACCUGAAGCCAAAGCUACCCAACUGGCUUGUAAGGAAUAAGAUUACUUCCCAGGGGUUGAUGGAAAGCACUGAGCACCCUCUGCUGCACUCAUUAAAAUUAGGCUCAGUAGCAGCACCUGACCUUGUAAAUACCAGACAGAAGGGUGCUGUGCCCUCCCAGCAAGAGGAAGGGUGCCUCCCGCUGCCAGGAGCUCAGAUAACAUUGGAGGGCACUGCAGGAUUCAGCCCAGGCUUCCAUCUGCAGCAGAAGCCACUGUCCUCUCCCGAUUCACAUGCAAGGUUUGGAGAAGACAGCACAAUCUCUCUGUUGUAAUAGGUCAGCUAUACCUUUCCUCCUGGUCUGACCAAGUUCCCUCUCCACAGCUGGGUCAGCUUUACUACAAAGGGAGGAGGACUUUGCUGCCUAUGCAUGGGUCUCUGGGGACAGAUGGAGGCUGUGGGUUACUCACUAUCCAGGAUCUGGCUGCUUUUCUUGCUAUUCUGUCUGGGACAAGGGAGGCAGGUGGCUCCCCCAGGUUUUGUAGAGAGCAGUUGCCGCUCCAGGAUUUUUUGGAUGAAACUGAAUAAACUCUUGCUCCAGGGAAAGU
Long non-coding RNA from Harpia harpyja (harpy eagle), 742 nucleotides. RefSeq lists it as uncharacterized. The record is from RefSeq and is a predicted model, not a curated record. NCBI's taxonomy places the organism in Eukaryota, Metazoa, Chordata, Aves, Accipitriformes, Accipitridae. The transcript is spliced from 3 exons.